Molecule: small RNA, 590 nt
Filed under: Pongo abelii (Sumatran orangutan)
Lineage: Eukaryota; Metazoa; Chordata; Mammalia; Primates; Hominidae
Description: processed transcript
Source: RNAcentral
AGACAAGGAAUUUUCUUCAGGACUGUUUCCCUCUGGCAGGCUCUGGUAUUAUCACUGAGAAUGGUCCCGUGUGUGUGUGCGUGUGUGUUGUGUUUACAACUUCUGUCCAAGUCUUCUUUCUUUUUCCUCUACCUUUGUGUGACAUUUGAUUUCUCCGCAGGGCUCUGAAUCCCAGUCCUGGUGCGUGUGUGUGCGUGUAUGUGGUGUGUGUGUGUGUGUAUGUGUUUGUUGGGGCAGUAGGGGAGGACACUGAAGCAGCACGGUCUGCUCUGAGUCGCUGUGUGUCUGAAACUGUCUAGGGAGAAGCUGCUGCCCAUUUUACAGAUGGCACCUUCGGAAGACAAUGCUGAGCCAGGACCAGCUGCUGAAUGACUCUCACCUGCCUGCCCCCAACUCUGAUGACUGGAGAUGACUUUCUUCGUGGCUGAGAGCGUAGGGAGGCACGUGUGGGGGCCCGGAGCCUUUGCUUCUGUGGGGAGCUGGCACACAGCCCCCUCUGCAAGCCCAGUCCGGGCGGGCAGGGUGUCUCAGACAGGGUGCCGACAGGCAUGAAGCAGAGCUGUGGGACAGGUGUCCAGGGGUGGCCCCAG